AGCAGCCGCGGUAAUUCCAGCUCCAAUAGCGUAUAUUAAAGUUGUUGCAGUUAAAAAGCUCGUAGUUGAAUUUCGGGGUCGGUAGGUUGGUCAUGCCUCAGGUAUGCACUGGUCUCACUGAUUCCUCCUUCCUGAUGAGCCGUAAUGCCAUUAAUUUGGUGUUGCGAGGAAUCUGGACUGUUACUUUGAAAAAUUAGAGUGUUUAAAGCAAGCUAACGCUUGAAUACAUUAGCAUGGAAUAAUGGAAUAGGACGUUCGAUCCUAUUUUGUUGGUUUCUAGGAUUGACGUAAUGAUUAAUAGGGAUAGUUGGGGGCAUUAGUAUUCAAUUGUCAGAGGUGAAAUUCUUGGAUUUAUUGAAGACUAACUACUGCGAAAGCAUUUGCCAAGGAUGUUUUCAUUAAUCAAGAACGAAAGUUAGGGGAUCGAAGACGAUCAGAUACCGUCGUAGU
This 450-nucleotide ribosomal RNA is filed under the name uncultured Glomeromycotina. RNAcentral describes it as "SSU rRNA". It matches the Rfam family "Eukaryotic small subunit ribosomal RNA", at positions 569 to 1024 of the family's 1831-position model. The record is from RNAcentral. Lineage: Eukaryota; Fungi; Glomeromycota.